Long non-coding RNA from Ananas comosus (pineapple), 1004 nucleotides. RefSeq lists it as uncharacterized. The transcript is spliced from 3 exons. Lineage: Eukaryota; Viridiplantae; Streptophyta; Magnoliopsida; Poales; Bromeliaceae. The record is from RefSeq and is a predicted model, not a curated record.
AACCGAACUGACUUAAUAAAUAGUACCGCUCCUUCCUUCUCGCACUUGCUUCUUUUGUAAACUGAACCGAACCGAACCGUCUCUUUUAAACCGAACCGUCUCAAUGAACUAUACGGCUUCCCUCUCUCACAGAUCGAAUCGCCUCCCUCUCAUUUUCAGUUUUUUUUACGACAGGAGCGUUUCAUCUUCCUGCUCCUUGGCGUUGUUUCUUCUUCCCCUUUCGUUGUAGCAUUUCCUCUCCUUGAUCCUCAACCUCUCCUCCUUCUCCGCCUCCGCCUCCUCCUCCGCCGCGAAUGGGAGCGACACCGCCGCUGCUAUAUCUCUCUCUCUUUAGGGUUUCCACUUCUCGAUCUUAUUGCCUUAUCAAGGGUUUUGGUUUUCGUAUUGUUUAGGAUGGAUUCUAAAAAUUGAGGGUUAAUUAUUCCUAAUAUAUUUCUCCGCCUCCGCCUCCACCUUCUCCUCUGCUACGAACGGGAGCGACGCCGCUGCCGCCAUAUCUCUCUCUUUAGGCUCUCAUCAAUCAAGACAAACUAACCGCAUUGUUAUAUGUAACACCCAUGUUCUUUACAGGGGAGAAAUCAAACUUGGUCAGACUUUAGUGAGGCUUCGGUUUCAAAAACUAUUGCUCAGAGUAAUGUCGAUGAGGCUUGUGACUAAUGCAAAUGUCAAAAUUCUCCAUAUACUCAGACGAUCAAGAGAGAUUUGGUUAGAUACUAUCUUUCAUAUAUAUUCUAUCGUGCAAGGUAAAGUAGCCAGGGCAAAUAGCAUGACUAUUAGCCAUUCCCAUGCUAUCAAUUGGAUAUCUAGAAAGGUAAAGUUAUCUAAGUAUGCCUUCUUUUUAGUGAGCUUUGGGUUUAGGGUUUGAACAAUCCUGUGGUUUGUUCUGAAUUUUCAUAAAAUAUCCAAAAGCAUUAUGCUAAUGUUUGCUUCUGUAUUAGUUGAAAUUCUGAUUUUGACCUAAAAUCUAUCUUCAUAUUGCAAUAUAAUUAUUAUGUCUUAACUAA